Molecule: long non-coding RNA, 4109 nt
Filed under: Olea europaea subsp. europaea
Lineage: Eukaryota; Viridiplantae; Streptophyta; Magnoliopsida; Lamiales; Oleaceae
Source: RNAcentral
CUACAAUGGUAGUUUCCCACUCUUCUCAGGAGGCUUCGUUCAUUCUCCAUGACCAUCUGAUUCCACAAAUAUAGCUAUAAUUGUUGGUCGUUGGGGAGUCUUAAUUCUUACCUUACUAAUUACUUGCUCAAUAUAGUCGAGGAGACAUAAGAAACAUCUGUAUUACAUGAGCCCCAGACAUGGGCACAUAAGAGUGUUUAGUCAAUAAAAUAAUAACUUUGAUUUCUCAAUUUUAUACAAUAUUUCUAAAAGAAUAAUUCUGGUUAUGUGCAAUAUUUUUUUGGCUUUCAGGUGCAGAGAUGUACUUCCAAACUUUCAAACGGUGGAAUAGUCCCCAGCCUAUUGAACAAAUUCUUAGGAUUUCUCCACCAUGGGAGAUGACUGGGACCUAUUAUGUGAAUACAAACAUAGGUUGGGACGAGUUUCACAGAGGCAUUGAAAGGUAGUGAUGUUUUAUGCGAAAUAUUCUAACAGGUAGCGAUAUUUUAUCACGUGUUCCAUUUCAGGCAAAAAAAGGGAUUAACAGCUCCAGUUCAAGAUGCAGGAUUUGGAAAAUGAGUUUUAUUUUUUUUUGAUAAUAAUUUACUGUGGCUAUUAAUGGCAGAUGAUAGCAUGUGUCGAAUCCACAGCUAGAAAAUGGAAAAUGCAUCACGCGAUGAUGAACAGUGGACUUGAAACAAUAAACACACUCCAUUUCAGAAACAAUUACGAUUUUAGACGCUCCAUUUCAGAUUCACGAACUCGAAACAUUUCGUUGUGUUUGCUUGAUUUGUUCGAUUAAUCUUGAUCCUUGCUAAUUUUAUUUGUUAAUGUUUUUUUUAAUAUGUGAAAUAACCUGGUUACAGCGAGAAGAAGGGACCUAAAAUUAGUGAGACGAUUUUACCUUUCAUAUUCGAAAGUAAAACUGUGUCCAUGUGCGAAGUUAUCGGUGGAGCAGACAGCAAAUGGAUGGAAGGAUGAUUUUCGCAAUGAAAUGUGUAAGACUUUCUGUGAUAAUAACCUUGUACAAAUAGCCGAACGAAGUUUGUACGUUUUCAUUAAUUUUGAUAAAAAAAGGAGCGAAUUCCCAGGGGCCAGGGCAUCACGAGUCUAUUCACAUCAAACGGAAAUCAGAGAAAGAGAGAAAUUUCGAUAGGUUGAAGAUGCUGAGAGUAGCGGGGAGGGGGGUGUAUCCUCUCUCAUGGCGGUCUGCUUUGACCUCGACGGCGUCACUGUCCAAAAACUCAAAACACUUGUGAUCGUACCUCAUCAAUCUCUUCAUCCUUUCUCAAUCAAGUCAGAGGUAAAAUUAUUAGGGUUUCAUUCAUCUUAAUUUUUUUAUUUUCAUCAUUUCCAUUAGAUUUACGCUUUAUCGUCUUAUAAUUGCGCAAUUGAGAUUGGAUUGAGAAUAAAACUUUGUUAGGUGAGGUAAUGGAAACAGAUAUUUGGUAUUUUUCUAGUUGUUGUUUGGAUUGCUGAUUUUCAUAUCGUUUGAUUUUAAUUGAAUCCAUACAGUCCCCUUCAGUAUAUUUUCAGUCUAUUGUGACUUAAGUCACCAAAUUACAUACAAGGAUUUAAGUUUUCUGUUACGAUGUUGAUUGGGUUGGUGACCUUCUUUAAUAUAUAGGAUAGUUUCAUAUUAAAAUUGAUUAUUUAUUAUUAUUAUUUUUUUUUUCGGAAUUUAAUGAUUUUCGUUUUUCAUUUUAGUUGGAUCCGUGCAGUUCCAGUUAGGGCUGGACAUGGUCCGGUUCGGUUCGGUUCUAACGAGAAUCGAACCGACCCGAAAUUUUCGGGUAUUUAGUAAGUGGAACCGUCAGGUCCAAAUUUAAUUAUGGAACCGUUCGGGUUCGGUUCCAUUCGGUUCGGUUCGGUCCAGUUCCGUAUUAUAAUUAAAAUUUUUAAUAUAUACAAAGUUUUGUUAAUUUAAUUAAUGAUAUAUUUAAUAUUAGCUCUUACAAAAUAACGUAUUUCAAUUUUAUGUGUUUCACGUCUCUCUUUGCUGAAUUUUUCAUAAAUUUGAUUAUUAAAAUAACAGAAAGAGAAAGAUAGCGAUCUCAAAAUAAUUAAGAAAGAUGUUGUAGAGCUUUAAUUCGAUUUUCUCCGGUAGAAACGACACUACAGUAGAAUAAUAGAUUUAGAUAAAAUUGAGGUCAAUUUGAUUAAAUUGAUUUUGAACUGAAUAUUAGAAAUAGGAAAAUCAUAUUUUGUGAUUUGAACUAAAUUAACUAGUUAACAAAUUUAUUUAGAAAAAAUAAAAUAAUUUUAAUUAUUUAAAAUAAAUUAAUUAAAAGAAUUACGGAGAUUCGGUUCUUCGGGUCUUGGCCUAGAACCGAGAACCGAACCAUACCCGUCGGUUCUUAAUUCAAAUACCCGUUCGGGUAUUUAACUUGAGAAGAACCGUCGGGUUCGGUUCUGUUCGGUUCGGUCGGUUCGGUUCGGGAGUUUUGUCCAGCCCUAGUUCCAGUUCCUGUUCUUCAUUUUAAUUUUACAAACAUCAAAUUAGAGCGUGCCUAAUUUUUGCUUUCAUUUGGAAGAUAAAAUUCUGCAGGUCUUAGUAAAGCUGAUGAAUGUAACUUUUCCUAGUUUUUGGUGAUAAGUUAGAUGUAGAACUUUCACAUGUUGCUAACUUGUUAUUUCUCACUACGUCCUAGGUUUUAUUGAAAUUUUGUGAUCUUUCAAAACACAAUUGAUAUGUCAGUGAUAAUUGAUGUACACGAGUACAAGCAGCUGCGUAUGUGACAAAAAUGUCUUAUGGACAUAAUGAAGAUAUUACUGGUCUUGAGAAAAUUUAGUAACAGGCUUGUUUUGGUGCACGUUUAUGCGUAUUAUUUUCACAAUCAACUUGUCCAUUUCACCGCCUUCCCAUUUUUUUCCUUCUUAACUUUGCCUCAGUAAAAUUUAUUGCACUGUCACUGCCCAAGCAUGUCUUUUAAGGUUUAAUUUGUUUCUACAUCUCUUCUCCUUAGCAGUUUCUUUAUCUGAAUGUUAUUUUCUAAAUUGCUUCCAUUUUGCUUUCUAUAUUUCACUGGUCACAUGCAAUGGGGUCGGGUGUUGAAAAUGAUAUGAGCUCAACAAUAAGCAUAUUGUAACAGGGAACUAAAUAAUCUUAUGGGGUGAAAACUCUUUAUAUCUUCUAAAUUAAUAAUGAUAAUGGAUGCCAAUUAACUACCGAUAGAUAACCAUUGCAUGCACUUCACGUGCAAUACAUAUGUUGUCCUUAGAAUACAUCUUAUGAUAAUUUUUCAACCUUUGACAUACUCUUCCAGGUUUUCUUUCUGGCACCCAGGACAUGAGACGAGCCAAUCAAGAACCCGAGUUUAAAGAUUGUAUAUGAUGAGCACAACCACGAAUGCUAUCCACCGGGUGAUCCCAGCAAACGUGCAUUUGCUUACUUUGUUUUGACUGGAGGCAUGUUUGUCUAUGCCUCGUUGGCCCGUCUUCUGGUACUGAAAUUUGUUUUGAGCAUGCUGUCAGUAAAAAUGUCCUUGCUCGUGCUUCCCUUGAGGUAGACCUAUCUAGCAUUGAACUUCGGACAACUGUUACUGUCAAGUGGCAUGGAAAACCAGUUUUCAUUAGGCAUCGCACUGAAAAUGACAUCAAGUUGGCCAACAGCGUGGAUGUUGCCUCCUCUCGUGACCCACAAGAUGAUUCUGUAAGGUUAAGAAUCCUGAAUGGCUUGUGGUUGUUGGGGUGUGCACCCAUCUGGGGUGCAUCAAGAUGCCAAAUUCUGGUGACUUUGGUGGUUGGUUUUGCCCUUGCCAUGGGUCACAUUACGACAUAUCCGGUAGGAUUUGCAAAGGGCCUGCACCUUUAAAUCUGGAAGUGCAAACUUACACCUUCUUGGAUGAAGACAAAUUGAUUGGAUGAGAUAAUUUAAUUUUGUUGGAACAUAAUACACCCGAGCCUAGCCUGAUUGAAGGAGACUUUUUCUUUUUCUUUUUAUAUGCAUAUAAUUGUAAUUUAAUUCUCUCUCUUUCUCAUAUGCUUCACAUGUUUGAUUUUUUUAAUUGGCCAGGCACUUAGAACAAGGUCAUGCUAUUUUGAAUAAUACUGGCUUCUUGUUCGUCAUUUUUGCUUGGAAGUGUUUGUUUUAUGAUACUAUCAAUUAAUUUUCUCAAAGCUGAUCCGGC